CCUACGGGUGGCAGCAGUGGGGAAUAUUGCACAAUGGGGGGAACCCUGAUGCAGCGACGCCGCGUGGGUGAAGAAGCGCCUCGGCGCGUAAAGCCCUGUCAGCAGGGAAGAAAAUGACGGUACCUGACGAAGACGCCCCGGCUAACUACGUGCCAGCAGCCGCGGUAAUACGUAGGGGGCAAGCGUUAUCCGGAUUUACUGGGUGUAAAGGGGGCGCAGACGGCGGUGCAAGCCAGGAGUGAAAGCCCGGGGCCCAACCCCGGGACUGCGCUUGGAACUGCGUGGCUGGAGUGCAGGAGGGGCAGGCGGAAUUCCUGGUGUAGCGGUGAAAUGCGUAGAUAUCAGGAGGAACACCAGUGGCGAAGGCGGCCUGCUGGACUGUAACUGACGUUGAGGCCCGAAAGCGUGGGGAGCAAACAGGAUUAGAUACCCGAGUAGUC
This 440-nucleotide ribosomal RNA is filed under the name uncultured bacterium. Its description in RNAcentral is "partial 16S ribosomal RNA". It matches the Rfam family "Bacterial small subunit ribosomal RNA", at positions 338 to 795 of the family's 1533-position model. The record is from RNAcentral.